GGGGAUUUAAAUUUUUCCCCUUUUCUCUCCCGUCUUUCCCUGGAAUUGAGGGUGGGGUGAGUGUAGGGUCCUCCCCUUCCUUCCCUAGCCCCUGGUUACUGGGGGAAAGGCAAGCUCCAGAGGGUGGCGACAGUAUGAAGAGAUCGUUGGAACAAAAGAAGGGCAGGUUUGGAUUGCUGGACACGUCCUCCUGGAGUUGGAGAGACCCCCCCAUUCCAUUGGCACCCCCUCCUAUCAACCCCCCAGCUCCCUAGACAAGGAACUCAAUGUCUUCCAGCCGGGAGAGCAGCAAGAGAAAGAAAGAAAGAAGCAAACGAAAUUCCUGAAUGGAUAGGAGAUGCUACGUCAGCGGUACCCGAGUCGCAUCCUCCACUCCACAAGAGAAGAGCUAGGAGAGACCCGCGGCGGUGCAGCCACGCGCCAGCGCCAGCGCCAGCGCCAGCGUCGUUGGUUGCCUCCUCCUUACAGAGGCAAGGGCCAGUCAUAGAAGCAGCCUCGUUGUUCAUCGGUUCAUUGAUGUCAUCAUAGGUGGCCCACAUCUCUGGCUUUGGGCUUCUCCCCUGGGCGGGUGGGUGCUCCACCCUCCCGCCCUCUCCGCUCUGUGGACAAGGACGUGAGGACCAGAGACAUCCAGCACCACGGACAGCUCCCAGCGAUGACCCAGAAAGCCAGGUGUGGUGCUUCACACCUGUAAUCUCAGCACCUGGACAUCUGGGGCAGAAGAAUGGCCAAAGAGAAGACCUGACCUGGCCCCAAGCUCCCCAAGGGCAAAGUGUGUUCCCAGAUUGAGAAGGGGCUGCCUCCAGCAAACAGAUGUGAACAGAGGCAGAGGGCACCACCCGGCAGCUUCUCCCCAAGCUAUGGAAUGCGGGCUUUGCUCACCUGGUCACUUCCAGCAAGUUGUCCCACCCGGCCCAUCUAUUUCUCCUGUUGCCUCUCGGCUGCAUCCCUAAAUCCUACCCCAUGUCCAAUAAAGAGUGUUGCAGACUGAACAGCAGCAGUUGCCUAUGUGUGUGCUGGGCAGGGACUGGGGAGUGUUGGGUGCUCUAUAAUAUCGCAGCACUACAAAACAGCACAGCCACAACUGGUGGGGCUCCCCGAAGCCUGCCUGCAGUUCUAGG
RNAcentral lists this long non-coding RNA (1121 nucleotides) under Cricetulus griseus (Chinese hamster). RNAcentral describes it as "lncRNA (ENSCGRG00015038569.1)". The record is from RNAcentral. Lineage: Eukaryota; Metazoa; Chordata; Mammalia; Rodentia; Cricetidae.